UUUCGAAUCAUUCACAAUGGGCGAAAGCCUGAUGGUGCGACGCCGCGUGAGGGAUGAAGGCCUUCGGGUUGUAAACCUCUGUCACUGGGGAAGAAACGCUUCAAGUUAAUAGCUUGAAGCCUGACUUAACCCAGAGAGGAAGCAGUGGCUAACUCUGUGCCAGCAGCCGCGGUAAUACAGAGACUGCAAGCGUUAUUCGGAUUCACUGGGCGUAAAGGGUGCGCAGGCGGCCGUGUGUGUUAGGUGUGAAAGCCCGAGGCUUAACCUCGGAAUUGCGCCUAAAACUACACGGCUAGAGCAUUGGAGAGGGUAGCAGAAUUCAUGGUGUAGCAGUGAAAUGCGUAGAUAUCAUGAGGAAUACCAGAGGCGAAGGCGGCUACCUGGACAAUUGCUGACGCUCAGGCACGAAAGCGUGGGGAGCAAAAG
This 426-nucleotide ribosomal RNA is filed under the name uncultured Cephaloticoccus sp. RNAcentral describes it as "bacterial SSU rRNA". It matches the Rfam family "Bacterial small subunit ribosomal RNA", at positions 355 to 774 of the family's 1533-position model. Lineage: Bacteria; Pseudomonadati; Verrucomicrobiota; Opitutia; Opitutales; Opitutaceae. The record is from RNAcentral.